This 253-nucleotide ribosomal RNA is filed under the name uncultured bacterium. Its description in RNAcentral is "partial 16S ribosomal RNA". It matches the Rfam family "Bacterial small subunit ribosomal RNA", at positions 524 to 776 of the family's 1533-position model. The record is from RNAcentral.
UACGGAGGGUGCAAGCGUUAUCCGGAUUUACUGGGUUUAAAGGGUGCGUAGGUGGGUCUGUAAGUCAGUGGUGAGAUCUCCGAGCUUAACUCGGUAACUGCCAUUGAUACUAUAGGUUUUGAAUUAUCUGGAGGUAAGCGGAAUAUGUCAUGUAGCGGUGAAAUGCUUAGAUAUGACAUAGAACACCGAUUGCGAAGGCAGCUUACUACGGAUGUAUUGACACUGAGGCACGAAAGCGUGGGGAGCAAACAGG